CUAUUUUUACCUUCAAAUUCCUACAAAUUGAAGAUGGCCUCAAUCUAAAGCCCAUAUCUAUGUUCCCUUUAUCCUAUGUACUCUGGAUGCCCUAAUCUUAUCGCUCAUAAUGCUUCAAAGGAUACUCGCUUGCAGAAGGUUGUUCAUAAGAAUUGACUCAUUGGUAUUGCUGGAAACUAGCCUCAGCUGAUAAGCAGCUUAUUAAC
This 206-nucleotide long non-coding RNA is filed under the name Elaeis guineensis (African oil palm). Its description in RNAcentral is "long non-coding RNA (EGUI_LNC006942)". Lineage: Eukaryota; Viridiplantae; Streptophyta; Magnoliopsida; Arecales; Arecaceae. The record is from RNAcentral.